RNAcentral lists this ribosomal RNA (488 nucleotides) under uncultured bacterium. RNAcentral's name for it is "partial 16S ribosomal RNA". It matches the Rfam family "Bacterial small subunit ribosomal RNA", at positions 30 to 523 of the family's 1533-position model. The record is from RNAcentral.
AUUGAACGCUGGCGGCAGGCUUAACACGUGCAAGUCGAGCGGGGGCUUCGGUCCUAGCGGCGAACGGGUGAGGAAUGCUUGGGAAUCUGCCCAGUAGCGGGGGAUAACGUUUCGAAAGGAACGCUAAUACCGCAUACGCCCUACGGGGGAAAGGGGGGGAUCUUCGGACCUCUCACUAUUGGAUGAGCCCAAGUCGGAUUAGCUAGUUGGUGGGGUAAAGGCCUACCAAGGCGACGAUCCGUAGCUGGUCUGAGAGGAUGAUCAGCCACACUGGAACUGAGACACGGUCCAGACUCCUACGGGAGGCAGCAGUGGGGAAUAUUGGACAAUGGGCGAAAGCCUGAUCCAGCCAUGCCGCGUGUGUGAAGAAGGCCUUCGGGUUGUAAAGCACUUUAAGCGAGGAGGAAUGGCUGAGGGUUAAUAACCUUCAGCAGUGACGUUACUCGCAGAAUAAGCACCGGCUAACUCUGUGCCAGCAGCCGCUGUAA